AUAACACAUUAAGUUGUUGUAUACACACCAAAUAUCUGACAUUGUAUUCCCAUUUUCAUUUUGUUGUGCUUUUAAAUGGUUAAAAGUACAGUGAUACAUUCAGAUGACAACUAAACCAAAAAUCAGACAUUGUCUUUCUGUUGGAAAUUGGUUGCUUUUAGAUGGUUGAAAGCAUAGUGAUAACACACUGGGAAUUCAACAAACUUCUUUUUAAGUGCGUAAAUAAAGGUUGAAAUCGAAUUGAUCAUUGUCUUAACCAAAUAUUACCCAAAUGUGCCCUGUGGGUCAUCCCACAUGUUGAAGAAACGAAAGUAUAAAAUAGCUGACAUAACAACGCCACCUCCGAUGCUAAAUAUGUUGCAAAUGACAUCCUCAUGGCUGUACUAUUCAAUAACGUGAAUGGCACUUAGGUGAUAGUCUUAUAAAACCUUACCCUGGAAGACAUACAAAAUACACGGAAUGUACAAAACAUUAGGAACACCUUAAUAUUGAGUUGCACCCCCUUUUGCCCUCAGAAUAGCCUCAAUUUGUCGGCGCAUGGACUCUACAAGGUGUCGAAAGCUUUCCACAGGGAUGCUGGCCCAUGUUGACUCUAAUGCUUCUCACAAUUGUUUCAAGAUGGCUGGUUGUCCUUUGGAUGGUGGACCAUUCUUGAUACACACGGGAAAGUGGUGAGCAUGAAAACCCAGCAGCUUUGCAGUUCUUACAUGUAUUGAACCAUUUUUGUUGUUGUCAUUUAGCAGACUCCAGAGCGACUUACAGUUAGUGCAUUCAUCUUAAUAAGAUAGAUAGGUGGGACAACCACAUAUCUCAGUCAUAGUAAGUACUGUACAUUUUCCCUCUAAAGUACACUGUAAAACUUGAUUGUUGUUUUGACAGUAUUAUACAAUAAAGCUAACAGUAAAAUACAGUUAUUUACAGUAAAUUGCUGCAAAUGGCAAUGCACUCUCGGUGAUUUUACGCGUAAACAGUAAAUGACACCGUAAAUUCCAAAGAAACUUUGGCUUAAAGGUCUGAGCAGCCAUUUUGAUUCCCAUGUAAAAUAAGCCUUUUGAAUGACUAGAACAUCACCCAAAAUAUUUUUUCCAGAUAAAAAUGCUCAAAAUCGGACAAAAAUUACUUUUGCUCUCAUGUCAAACUACCAGUAAGUCUGAAAAGAUACACUGAGUGGACGGGGAGCUAGUAGGCUGAGUGGGCGGGGAACUAGUAGGCUGAGUGGGCGGGGAACUAGUAGGCUGAGUGGGCGGGGAACUAGUAGGCUGAGUGGGCGGGGAACUAGUAGGCUGAGUGGACGGGGAACUAGUAGGCUGAGUGGACGGGGAGCUAGUAGACUGAGUGGACGGGGAACUAGUAGGCUGAGUGGGUGGGGAGCUAGUAGGCUGAGUGGACGGGAAACUUACCGUGACACACUUCAAACAGGUCCGCCAGGCACCUACUACCAUACCCGUUCAAAGGCACUUACAUCUUUUGUCUUGCCCAUUCACCCUCUAACCAUUCGAUAUUAAACUGAUUAUGGCAGAAGGCCACGUAUGGCAUUAGUCAUGUAAACCCCUUACUCUGGUUAUCCUAAUCGGUGUAAGGUCAAAAUCAAAGUAAGCAUACGGCGAUUAAAACAACUGGUUUUCUGAGCAAUCUUUCAAAUUAUUAGCGGUGUAUUUGAUCUGAGCAUGUGCCAGCACCGGUAGCGCAAGCCUCCAUCUUAAACGCGAGUGAAGUGAGUUGUUAAAAACGGAAAGUAUGCAUCUUAUAAAUAGCUUUC
This is a long non-coding RNA of Oncorhynchus tshawytscha (Chinook salmon), 1759 nucleotides long. Lineage: Eukaryota; Metazoa; Chordata; Actinopteri; Salmoniformes; Salmonidae. The record is from Ensembl.